This 225-nucleotide non-coding RNA is filed under the name Nocardioides sp. The record is from RNAcentral. Lineage: Bacteria; Bacillati; Actinomycetota; Actinomycetes; Propionibacteriales; Nocardioidaceae.
AUGGUGGUCGACGCAGCUGGUUCGCGGCGCCAUCCAGGCGUCGCGAGGCAAGAGGGAACCCGGUGGAAGUCCGGGACUGCCCCGCAGCGGUGAGUGGGAACGACAGCCGUCACACGCACUGGGUCGAGCGAUCGACCUGGGAAGCGACGGCCGGUAGGGGUCGACCGGCGAGAGCCGGGAGGCGCGCCCGCGAGUCCGAAGACCUGCCAGCGCACCACACCCGUC